Long non-coding RNA from Brassica napus (rape), 1910 nucleotides. RefSeq lists it as uncharacterized. Lineage: Eukaryota; Viridiplantae; Streptophyta; Magnoliopsida; Brassicales; Brassicaceae. The transcript is spliced from 2 exons. The record is from RefSeq and is a predicted model, not a curated record.
UUUAAAACACUUUCCUCGGACUAUUUAUUUAUCGGUUAAAAAACUGACGACACAUAUUGCAUUUAGCAAGGUGAUAGCAGAGGCCCGAAGCAGAACUGUACUCCUUUGUAAAUAUCAAGGAACAUAUAUUUAAGUAACCAGUGUCCUCUCAACAUUUGCCUCGUGAGUUAUUGUACUAUUAGUAAAUUAAUUAACAUCAAUACAUUUGAAGACGUCACUGCUUUGCGCGCAUGCACAAUUUUCAUGCGUUGAGAGCGUACGAAAUAUAUAUAUACAUGUGAAUGUAAGCUAUUGCCAUCUCUUUAACAAAAAAAAACUAGCAAGUUAAAAGAAAAUCCAGCCAUUAGUAAUAAUACUGUCCUUUUAUGUUCUUUGUUUCGUAACUUUGAAUAUAUUUUUAAUUGCUGGUUUUUUCCUAAUAUUAAUCGAUAAUUUCACAUGUUUCUCAAAAAAAAUUAAGAGAUAAAAUUUACCAAAUGAACAUCCGUCGUUUUAAAAUCUUAAAUUUAAAAUAGGUAAUUUGAAAAGAUGUAUCAGGUUAUGUUUGAAUCAAGCAAGUGAGAAUUGAUUGAUCUGUGUUGCAAAGAAAAAAUAUCUGAUCUGUCUAAAUUUUUUAAUACAACGUGAGAAUAGAUAGAGAUAUAUUUUUUGAACAAAAAAAAAGAUAGAGAUAUAUUUUAUAUUAAAAAAUACGGGCACCGCAAUAUUGUAGGUCAUCGAACGCACCUCGAGGUAUGUAAAAGUUUUAUGUGUAGUUAUUCUUUUAAAGAAAAAAAAAAAACUUAAUGUACUGAAAGUGGCAAGAGGCUCAUAAUAAAAGGGUAAAAACUAGAGAUGUGACCUGACACCAGUCGGUGUCGUAUACUAAAUGAGGACAGUAACUUCCACCGACCCUCUUGUGUCACUUUUUAUUUUGUUUCGAAAGACAACAUGCACCCAAUGUAAUGUUUACUUUGGGUUUCACUAGAAUUAUAUUGAUUCGUAAAAAAAAAAAUAGAUGAAAUACAUAAAUUAACAAUACAAUUAUGUUUUCUUAUUUUAAUACCGAUGAGAAUGAAUGCCUUUUCUCUCUCUAUUUUUCUCUUCAACCUCUCGCUAAAAAUCUUUCUAUAACAAAACUUGCUCCAGUGGCCGGUGGUUUCUACUGCCAGUCGCCAUAAUCUUUUUUUUUGGUUUGUAUUAUAGUACUUUCCGUUUAAGCGGAUUAUGUAUGUUUCGCUAAGGCGAUUUUCUCAUUCGCGUAGACGAUUUUGAAGUGUAGAUUCAUCCAAAUCGGAGUGUUCAUCACUCUUAUCUUCUCCGAUAAGGAGAAUCAGAUUUUCUUAAUUAAUAUAACCGGCUGGCUUGAAGAAAGCAUCUCUGAUUUGGGAGUCGAGAGGGUUAGUUGGAUUUGGCAGUCAUUUAUGGAGUUGAUCAAGAAGAGUCGGUGUUUAUGACGGUCCGGCAAAUGGUUUUUCUUCAUAUUGGCUACAACUUCCCCUGUUCUUAAAUCUCAGGCGAAACAUGAUAUAUUGCUCAAGAAGCCGCGGUUAAUGGUGGAAGGCCCUUUCAAACAAAGAUCAACGGGCUCACAGAUGCAGAUAAAGAACUAUCGAUCAGCCGGAAAAUACCAGGACGCGAGUUCUUCUUUCUGCACGACGGCGCGUUCCUGAAGCGCGUGAGAUGGCUUGGCAACGUGCAGAAGAUUUAGACGACGCAUGUCCUUCUUUUCUUCAUCUUCCAACGCGUGGCAAGAUGACGAAGAUAAUGGAAGCGGUGGCAAAUUUUAUUAAUUGGAUUUUCAUGGGCUGUUUCGAAUAAAUAUAUAAGUGGAAAUGAGCUGUUGUAUCCGAGUUUGUACUUGUCCAGUUGGCUUUGCUUUAAUAAAAAGCAUAAGUUGACAAAAAAAAUACCAAUGAGAAAGAAAUUUA